AACGAACGCUGGCGGCAUGCCUAAUACAUGCAAGUCGACCGAGUGGCGGACGGGCGAGUCAUGUCUGGGCACCUGACUGAUGGACGGGGAUAACUAGUGUAACCGGUAGCUAAUCCCGCAUACCAUCCGAUGUGCCCAGACGGGAUUAGCUAGUUGGUGGGGUAACGGCUCACCAAGGCGACGAUCCAUAGCUGGUCUGAGAGGUUGAACAGCCACACUGGAACUGAGACACGGUCCAGACUCCUACGGGAGGCAGCAGUAGGGAAUAUUGCGCAAUGGACGCAAGCCUGAUGCAGCCAUGCCGCGUGUAUGAAGAAGGCCUUCGGGUUGUAAAGUACUGUCGGCAGGGAGGCGUUACCCGCAGAGAAAGCACCGGCUAACUCCGUGCCAGCAGCCGCGGUAAUAC
This 406-nucleotide ribosomal RNA is filed under the name uncultured bacterium. Its description in RNAcentral is "partial 16S ribosomal RNA". It matches the Rfam family "Bacterial small subunit ribosomal RNA", at positions 29 to 526 of the family's 1533-position model. The record is from RNAcentral.